AUUGAAAAUAUCAGCCCUUAUAUAACACUGUAAACUGCACAAGUUUAGGAAUUAGUUACUCAACUCUGUUAAAUAGAUGACUAAGUCUAUUCACAUAUCUUAUCUUGGCCAUUUCAAUCUUAAUCUCUUAUCUAAAAUCUAUCUUAUUUAUUAUCUAUUUUAUUUUUUCUUUUAUCUUAUUGUUAUUUGUUUUGAACCUGAAUACUUAAUCUUUUAAAAACAUAAAUUCGAAAGGCCUCAAAGCAAACACCAAAUUGUUUUAGCCUUUUAUGGUUCAUCUCUUUUAUUUCUGGGCACCCACUUCUUAAUUUUUCCCACCCUUGUUUCUUAUCAAAACAGGAUGCCUGGAAUGAGAAGAGGAAAGCCAACUAACAAGCCAUGACCACUGAUAAAUCUGCAAUCGACUAAGGAUUCCCCAGUGGCUCUGGUGGUGCCUAAUCCCUCUGUCGCUGGAUUCAUGGCAUCUCGGGAGUCUGUAAUAACUAGGGCCGUCGCGCUUGGACCAGGAGCUGCCACCACAGGGUUCAAGCGAUUCUUGGCUUUAACUGAAGCCUCCAAAUAUAGGAAGGAUGGACCUUUCCGGAAGCUUUUUCAUCCUUAAGGAAGAGUGGGUUUGAACAAAAUCUUUUGUUAGAAGCUUUUGGUGGCUUUUCCGUUGUUCCAGUAGUCUCUGCAAUCAGGACAGGUGCAAUUAAGGUUUACAAUCAUGGCAUGUGCAAUUAAGCUUCACAAGUUUCAGCUUUCUUUGGUCUUUAGAAGCAUUUCUAAUUGUUGAAAUAUCUUUAAUUAAAAAGGAAAUACAUUACUGGUGUUUUCAUAAACUCUGUUGCACUAAGGAUUCACGUAACUCUUUGAUGAGCUUUUGUAAAAUGACACUGCCCCUUUUUUACUCUCAAAAGUAAGGGGAAAGACCGGAAGAGGGAAAAACAUAAUUGGCACGUGUUAA
This is a non-coding RNA of Arachis ipaensis, 946 nucleotides long. The record is from RefSeq and is a predicted model, not a curated record. Lineage: Eukaryota; Viridiplantae; Streptophyta; Magnoliopsida; Fabales; Fabaceae.